Podarcis raffonei (Aeolian wall lizard) is the source of this 462-nucleotide long non-coding RNA. RefSeq lists it as uncharacterized. The record is from RefSeq and is a predicted model, not a curated record. NCBI's taxonomy places the organism in Eukaryota, Metazoa, Chordata, Lepidosauria, Squamata, Lacertidae. The transcript has 2 exons.
AAGGCCAUAAACAAGACUUGAACCCAGAUUGGAAAGGAUAAUCAGUGUCACCUAAGAAAUUCUGGAUCUGUGUUGCCAAUACUAACUCCAGGGCAUAAAAGUGCAAAUUAAGUAUAUUCAUCUUCAAAUGUGAACUGAAUUCUACAUCUCCCAUAUCCCUAGCAUGGACACCCAUGAAGGUGGCAGAAUACAUGCUACUGGAGAGAUAAAUGGCAGAUUGAAAGUAAGGACUCUAUGAAAAUCUCUUGGACAGCUCCAUAGUAUGCUAACCACAGUGUAAGCUCUGCAUCCCAAAUCCACUGAAUAUUUCUCACCCUUUUGAUAAUAUUCAAAUGCAAUUUCUUUUUGUAUGAAUGGAUGGGCCAUUGUUUGGGAAAUGCAGGGGGGAAAUUCAACACAUUACUACUUGUGCUAAAAUCAAAACCUAAAUAAAAAAAUGAUGGCAUUGUGAACAUGCUAAAA